Molecule: ribosomal RNA, 448 nt
Filed under: uncultured organism
Description: partial 16S ribosomal RNA
Rfam family: Bacterial small subunit ribosomal RNA
Source: RNAcentral
GUACACUCCUGCGGGAGGCAGCAGUGGGGAAUAUUGGACAAUGGGCGCAAGCCUGAUCCAGCCAUGCCGCGUGAGUGAUGAAGGCCCUAGGGUUGUAAAGCUCUUUCACCGGUGAAGAUAAUGACGGUAACCGGAGAAGAAGCCCCGGCUAACUUCGUGCCAGCAGCCGCGGUAAUACGAAGGGGGCUAGCGUUGUUCGGAUUUACUGGGCGUAAAGCGCACGUAGGCGGACUAUUAAGUCAGGGGUGAAAUCCCGGGGCUCAACCCCGGAACUGCCUUUGAUACUGGUAGUCUUGAGUUCGAGAGAGGUGAGUGGAAUUCCGAGUGUAGAGGUGAAAUUCGUAGAUAUUCGGAGGAACACCAGUGGCGAAGGCGGCUCACUGGCUCGAUACUGACGCUGAGGUGCGAAAGCGUGGGGAGCAAACAGGAUUAGAAACCCCUGUAGUCC